UAACUCGUUAAUGAGGAUCUACAAAAACCGCCUAGAGCUGCAUUAUUCGUAAGGGUGGGGACGGUGUGCUUUCCCCGUGCGAUCGGGAGCAACGUGAGGAUGUCUGCUCUCGUUGCCCUUGCUCGACGUCGCGCUGGAAGUUCCGGCUACUGCAGCGAGUCAGGAAAAGGAAAUAAGAGGCAUGGAGUUGGUGAGGAAGAGUUAGAACGGGAUUUACACAUGGCUUGAUCAUGUAAUUGUAAAACUCCAAGGGCUUCCCGGAAGACUCUGGAACUGAGAAGUGAGUUUAGCCAGGCUGCAGGAUACAAGACAAACAUUCAGAAGUCCAUACAUAUGUCCAUAUGUAGCAGUGAACACGUGACACCAAAAUUAAAAAUACCAUACCAUUUAUAAUUACUCAAAAAAAUGAAGUACUUAGAUAUAACUCUAACAAAACACGUGCAGGGCUGUGUGCUGAACACCAGACACGCUGGUGAAGGAGCUCAGACAAGACUGCAGCGAAUGAAGAGAUGUGUGGUGUGUAUGGGUCGGAAGACUUACAUGGUAAAGACGUCAGUUCUCUCCAAACCAAUGAACGGAAGUCCUGUCAACAUCCAAAGAUUUUUUGGUAGAUAUAGACAAGUUUAUCCUAAAAUUGGUAUGGAAAGUCAAAGGGCCUAGAAUACUUAAAACGAUCUUGAAAAAGAAGGAGGGAGAAAGACUCAGUCUACCUGAUGUCAAGACACUGAUGUUCUGCGUUAAUCUGGACAGUGUGGUAAUGGCAGACGACACUCAAUGGAACAGAAUAGAUCUCAGAAAUAGACCCGCACGGUGUGCCCAGCCGGUUUGAGACAAAGGUAGACAGUCACUUCAGUGGAGGAAAGACAGCCUUUUCCACAAAUUGUGCUGGAGCCAUUGGACAUCCGGAGGCAGAGAAAAAAAAUGAGCAAUGACCUAAAUUUCACCCCUAUUAUAAAAUUGAACUCAAAAUGGAUUACAGAUUUAAACAUAAAAUUUUAAUUAAAAAAUUUUAGGAAAAAAUAGGAGACAAUAUUCAGAAGCUUGGAACAAAGAGUUCUUAGAUUUGAUGUUAAAAACAUGAUCCAUAAACGGAAAAAUUGGUAAACUAGACUUUAUCAAAAUUAGAAACUUAUGCUCUGUAAAGGACCCCUGUUAAGAGGAUGAAAUGACAAGCUACAGACUGGGAGAAAAUACUGGCAAACCAUAAAUCCGAUAAAGGACUAAGAAGUCUGACAGCUCACCACUGUGAAAACAAACAAUCCAGUGAGAAACUGGGCAAUGGACAGGAACAGGAGUCGCCCUGAGGAGGGCAUGCGGAUGGCAGAUGAGCGCCCCGAGGUGUCCAGCACCAGCAGAGGGAUGCAAAGCAGAACCACCGCGAGAGACCGCCAACACCUCUCAGAACGGCCAAAUUAAAACAGAGCGAUGGCGCCAAAGCCUGCAGUGCAGUGAGAAAUCGGAUCCCUCUGGCACUGCAGGUGGGUGUAAAACAUCGCGGCUGCCCCGGAAACCAGGUACCAGCUUCGUUUAAAACAAAACACGCAGCUGUCAUUCGACCCAGCAACAGCACCCCUGGGCAUUCAUCCCAGAGAAAUGAAGACAUAGUCACACAAAUUCAUGCACAUAAAUGUUUAUAUUAGUUUUAUUCAUAAUAGCCUCAAACUGGGAAGAACCCAGAUGUCCUUCAACAGGUAAUUGGUUAAAAAAAGUUGUAGUCCACACCACAGACACCGACAACUCAGCAACAAGAACAAACUGUCGGUACACGGGACAGGCUGGGUGAAUCUGCAGAGCAUUAUACUGAGUGAAAAAGACAAUCCCAGAGGCUGUGUCCUAUAUGGUUCCAUUUAUAGAACAAUCUGGAAACGACAAAGUUAUGAAAACGAAGGUCAGAUUAUUGGUGGCCAGGGUUCGGAGGGGGCGGGAGUGGGAGGAAGGUGGGUGUGUCCACAAAAGGGAGCCACGAUCCUCGUGGCGAAGGAAUGUUGCGUGUCCACUGCACGGUGUCCGUGUCCGCGCUGACACCGUACUGUAGUUUGUAUGUUGUGACUGUUGGAGAAUAGGGUACUCGGGCUUUCUGUGGACUAUUUCUGGUAACUGCAUGUGAGUCCACAAUGAUGUAAACACUGACACUGAUAAUCUGCAGUCCUGUGCCCUCACGGCCAGUGAGUCCACACGUCCUGCUGCAUGUGGGAGGGCUUCACCGACACGUCCAGUCUGAUUUGCGGUGGGAAGUGGAGGGAAAAGAGCUUCCUUCCUGCGAGCUGUGACCUUGACUCGCUUAAAGUAAAUAUUUGCUGUGGGUUUAUGGGUCCAGAUCUAAGAGUUUAAAGAGAUGUCGGGCUAUGUUGACUCAGUCUCAGUGACCUUGGUGUUCAGCCUUGGAAAACACUGCCCCUGAGUCAAGGCUUGAAUGAAUGACGUUUCUAACGUUGUAUCAUGUGUGUUUGAAUAGUCGGCGCUGGGCGAAGGAAGGUGGGAGGCAGCAGAGCGAUUCUGCGCCGCUCGCAUCGCUUCCUCUGGCUUUGGGAGCCUCAGUUGGAGCCUGGAAGUGAGCGGGAGCCAGCGGGCCCCCUGUUCCCGUGCCCUGGCGGCCCGGCUGGUGGGGGCAGCGGUGUUCACACACACUCCCAGUUCCUCGUUUCUGUUUUCGGGAGAUCUCAGCCAUGAUGCACUUGCUGCGUCAUCUUUUCCUGUAACCACAUCCCUCGAGGGAGAAGAGAGAGGAAGCUCCGUUUUCUUCAAAAUGCUCGAGUGCCCCACAUGCCUGCUCUGAUCCUCGGGGCCCAGUGAGCCCCCAGCGUCUGUGCCUCCCCUCUCCUGAACUUUUCUGGUGUUCUGUGCAUUGUUUGGGAAGCAUAUUUGGUGGGAUGAGUCUAAGAAUGUACCAUAAAGUCAAAUUCAGGUUUAUUACUAUUAAUUUUCUAAACAAAGCAAUAAACCAACUUCCUAAUUAUAAAUUGGCACGUUCUCCAGUGUUUACUGUUUUGGAGCAGUCUGCGUCAGAACUGGGACGACACCGCAUGUCCCACGGCGCCGGAGUUAUCACUCCAUCAACGGUGUCCUUUCCACUUAGACGUCAAGUCCACUGGCCAGAGAGCACAGGGGACAUUGGGCGUGAUCACUAGGGAGGCGGGUGCCAGCGACAUGCCCGUUUUGGGGACAGAUUCUGUUUUCACGAAGAGCAGCGGAUACUUGGGAGGUGCAGUGACCGUGGAUCUGAGGGGCUGCUCUCACGGGGCUGUGCCAUGGGCGCCGCUCCUUGGUGAAAUCACGGCUGCUCACUCACUGCGGGCGGCCAGUGUGACGGCACCUUCGCUGGGGGCCUCGUUUUGGAAUCGGUCCUUAUUCGAUGUGUUUUUGGGGAACUGGAAGGUACCUAUGCAGCUCUGAUUUCCUGGAGGAAUGUGGUGAAGGGCUGGCCGUCUGACGCUGAAAUCAGCAGUUUCAACCGUUGGCGUCUGUCUCCUCCAGCUUCUGUCACGCGGAGGUGGACGCUCACAGAUGCGGACGGAGCCUCAACCUGUACGGGGGGUGUGGGAGCUGACGGAGGAGGACGUGUUCGCUCUUUCCCAGGUGUUUCCCUCUGCAGAGACGUGAGCAAAGUUCAAUGGCAGAAAGUGGGGGUAGGACAGACCCCCCCAGAUCUUACCUGCUGUGGUCCCCCGAGGGAGGCCUCAAACACGGUGGCAGCAGAAGCAUGAAAUCCUCCAGCUCUGCCCACGCAUUGUUGCUGAAUCCCCCCUCCCCCACUCCUUUGGGCCAGCCCAGGCUCCGGGUCAUCUUACCGGUAGCUCGCUCUCCGCCUCCCGCCUCCCUGCCCCAGCUGACACCUCCCAGAGGUGGGCAGGUGGCCAAGGCCACUGCCACCUCGAGGAGGGCGGCCCUUUCCCGAAAGCCCUGAGGACACACCAUGGCACCCCAUCAGCCACACUCUGACGCUGGUGUCCAGCUCCUGAAGGCCUCGCUAAGAUGUCCAGCCUCAAAGAAGAAGGAAGUCCUGCCAUUUUUGAUAACGUGGAUGAACCUGGAGGAGAUCACGCUGAGCAAGACAUGCCAGGCAGAGAGGGACAAAUACACCUGAUCCCUCUUCUGAGAGGGUUAGCAGUCAGACAGAAGCAGUGAGUAGGGCAGUGGCUGCAGGGGCUGCCGGGAGGGGAUGGGGACACGUUCAUUUGGUGUAAAGUUUCAGCUGUGCAAGAUGAGUAGGUUCUAGACAUCUGCUGGACACAUAGUGCCUUAGUGAGCAAUGUCCUCUACACUAAAAAAUGUGUGUUGGGGGUAGAUCUCAUGUGAAGUGUUCUUACCACAAAAAAGGGGGGACACCACAGUCUUUUGAGGCGGGGGUUAGGUAUGUGACCUUGAUCGUGGUCAGGGCUGCACGGUGUUCCUGUGUGUCUGGACUCAGCAAACAGUGCACAUUAAAUAGGGGCUGUUCUUUGUAUGUUAAUUAUACCUCAGUAAACCUAUGUAAAAAAGGAAAUAUUAAAAUAAAAGAAAAAAAAGAUGUUAGCGAAACCA
Equus quagga is the source of this 4521-nucleotide RNA transcript. RefSeq lists it as uncharacterized. Lineage: Eukaryota; Metazoa; Chordata; Mammalia; Perissodactyla; Equidae. The record is from RefSeq and is a predicted model, not a curated record. The transcript has 2 exons.